UACAGAGGGUGCGAGCGUUGUCCGGAAUCACUGGGCGUAAAGGGCGCGUAGGCGGCCUGAUAAGUCGGGGGUGAAAUCCUGUGGCUCAACCGCAGGGCUGCCUCCGAGACUGUCGGGCUCGAGCACAGUAGAGGCAGGUGGAAUUCCCGGUGUAGCGGUGGAAUGCGUAGAGAUCGGGAAGAACAUCGGUGGCGAAGGCGGCCUGCUGGGCUGUUGCUGACGCUGAGGCGCGACAGCGUGGGGAGCAAACAGG
Molecule: ribosomal RNA, 253 nt
Filed under: uncultured prokaryote
Description: partial 16S ribosomal RNA
Rfam family: Bacterial small subunit ribosomal RNA
Source: RNAcentral